AUCCAAAUGACGAAUCACAAAUAGGACGAAACGCGUUUUCUGGAU
RNAcentral lists this non-coding RNA (45 nucleotides) under Schistosoma mansoni. The record is from RNAcentral. Lineage: Eukaryota; Metazoa; Platyhelminthes; Trematoda; Strigeidida; Schistosomatidae.